RNAcentral lists this long non-coding RNA (782 nucleotides) under Felis catus (domestic cat). RNAcentral's name for it is "lncRNA (ENSFCAG00000041057.2)". Lineage: Eukaryota; Metazoa; Chordata; Mammalia; Carnivora; Felidae. The record is from RNAcentral.
UUCAAAUUUCUCAAGUUGUCCUCAGAGCCUGUGGCAGCUGCUGUUUUUACAGUCGGGAUCUCAUCGAGGGGCAAGCAUUGCAUUGGAUUACGAUGGUCACAUUGAAUCUAGAACAUCUAGGGGCUAUAAAAGAACGUGGGCAGAAAAAACAGGCCACCCACCAAAGGGUAAAUUACUGCACGAUCAAGUCAAGAAGCGAGGGCAGAGGCCUAUGGGAAAUGUAGUCCAAUCCAGACGGAUCACCGCGCAGCACUCUGGGAACGGGUCUUCUUCUGCGCAAGUGCCGUCCUAGCCUCGCCGCGUUUUUACGCAUCUGCAUCUUCCCGCGGAGCAGGUCCCACAACUUUCUCGGUCAGGCAGGCUGGAAGGAGCACACCUGGGGGUCCAACCGCCCUAUUCCUGGAGGGAGCCUCCUCUCCUUCUGGGAUGCUGAGACUUUGUGGAAGUGAAUUUAGAAGCCGCCGGGCAGGCCAGACCCUUCACGGUCUCCCGAGAGGUGCAGAAAAUGAACACAUCUCAGAAGACUGCCAAGAUGAUAACCUCUUAGAGAAGAGCCGACAAAUCCAAGACAGACAUUUGUGGCAAGUUUUAUUUACUCAUUUUCAGAGAACUGACACAGGAGGGAAAAGUUUCGACCAGGGGUCACACACAAGAAGAACAAACCAGAGAAAUUAGGCGGAGGUGACCCCCUUUGAAUGUGGACGAAACUUCAGCCAUAAUUCAGCUAACACACCAGAGAAAUUCUGUGAUUAUAAUAAACAUAGGGGAGCCCUCUGCCCCCA